This 745-nucleotide small RNA is filed under the name Pongo abelii (Sumatran orangutan). RNAcentral's name for it is "retained intron". Lineage: Eukaryota; Metazoa; Chordata; Mammalia; Primates; Hominidae. The record is from RNAcentral.
CUUCGAAGUCAGGUUGCUGGGUUGCAAGCUGUGAGGCCUUUCACACUUCUCUGUGCCUGUUUCCUCGUCUGCAGAAUGGUAAUGAUAGUAGCAACUUCAGUUGUUGAGAAUUAAAUGAGAUGGUGUCUGUCAAGUGCCCACACUGGAGCCUGGCACAUGGCGUCAGUACCGCUCCUGUUGUCUCUCCUAGAGCCCAGCUGCAGGGGUAAGGGCCUUGGCACUGAGGCCGUUCUCGCGAUGCUGUCUUACGGUAAGAAAGUGUAAGCAGACAAUGCGGGAAGUGGCCAGGCCCCGGGUGAACCUUGUUCAGGUCUGAGGGUUGGGGGCAGGUGAAGGUUCCUCCUCUGCAGCUUGGGACAGGAGGGGUGGGGGUAGGCGCCUCCUUACUUGCCCCGUCUCAUCUCUGCGAGGAGUGACCACGCUAGGUCUGACCAAGUUUGAGGCUAAAAUUGGGCAAGGAAAUGAACCAAGCAUGCGGAUGUUCCAGAAACUUCACUUUGAGCAGGUGGCUGUGAGCAGUGUUUUUCAGGAGGUGACCCUCAGACUGACAGUGAGUGAGUCCGAGCAUCAGUGGCUUUUGGAGCAGACCAGCCACGUGGAAGAGAAGCCUUACAGAGAUAGGUCGGCAGAGCCCCGCUGAUGGCUGGGCCUUGUGGGCAACCACUCUGUGUGAGCAGGGUGUUGGGCUCACACACUCCAAAGACCAGAGCCCUGCACUGGGAGAGUGCUCCUGGCCCAGCCCCAG